UUGAAGAGUUUGAUCAUGGCUCAGAUUGAACGCUGGCGGCAGGCCUAACACAUGCAAGUCGAGCGGUAGCACAGAGAGCUUGCUCUCGGGUGACGAGCGGCGGACGGGUGAGUAAUGUCUGGGAAACUGCCUGAUGGAGGGGGAUAACUACUGGAAACGGUAGCUAAUACCGCAUAACGUCGCAAGACCAAAGUGGGGGACCUUCGGGCCUCAUGCCAUCAGAUGUGCCCAGAUGGGAUUAGCUAGUAGGUGGGGUAACGGCUCACCUAGGCGACGAUCCCUAGCUGGUCUGAGAGGAUGACCAGCCACACUGGAACUGAGACACGGUCCAGACUCCUACGGGAGGCAGCAGUGGGGAAUAUUGCACAAUGGGCGCAAGCCUGAUGCAGCCAUGCCGCGUGUGUGAAGAAGGCCUUCGGGUUGUAAAGCACUUUCAGCGGGGAGGAAGGCGAUAAGGUUAAUAACCUUGUCGAUUGACGUUACCCGCAGAAGAAGCACCGGCUAACUCCGUGCCAGCAGCCGCGGUAAUACGGAGGGUGCAAGCGUUAAUCGGAAUUACUGGGCGUAAAGCGCACGCAGGCGGUCUGUCAAGUCGGAUGUGAAAUCCCCGGGCUUAACCUGGGAACUGCAUUCGAAACUGGCAGGCUAGAGUCUUGUAGAGGGGGGUAGAAUUCCAGGUGUAGCGGUGAAAUGCGUAGAGAUCUGGAGGAAUACCGGUGGCGAAGGCGGCCCCCUGGACAAAGACUGACGCUCAGGUGCGAAAGCGUGGGGAGCAAACAGGAUUAGAUACCCUGGUAGUCCACGCCGUAAACGAUGUCGAUUUGGAGGUUGUGCCCUUGAGGCGUGGCUUCCGGAGCUAACGCGUUAAAUCGACCGCACGGGAGUACGGCCGCAAGGUUAAAACUCAAAUGAAUUGACGGGGGCCCGCACAAGCGGUGGAGCAUGUGGUUUAAUUCGAUGCAACGCGAAGAACCUUACCUGGUCUUGACAUCCACAGAACUUUCCAGAGAUGGAUUGGUGCCUUCGGGAACUGUGAGACAGGUGCUGCAUGGCUGUCGUCAGCUCGUGUUGUGAAAUGUUGGGUUAAGUCCCGCAACGAGCGCAACCCUUAUCCUUUGUUGCCAGCGGUUCGGCCGGGAACUCAAAGGAGACUGCCAGUGAUAAACUGGAGGAAGGUGGGGAUGACGUCAAGUCAUCAUGGCCCUUACGACCAGGGCUACACACGUGCUACAAUGGCAUAUACAAAGAGAAGCGACCUCGCGAGAGCAAGCGGACCUCAUAAAGUAUGUCGUAGUCCGGAUUGGAGUCUGCAACUCGACUCCAUGAAGUCGGAAUCGCUAGUAAUCGUAGAUCAGAAUGCUACGGUGAAUACGUUCCCGGGCCUUGUACACACCGCCCGUCACACCAUGGGAGUGGGUUGCAAAAGAAGUAGGUAGCUUAACCUUCGGGAGGGCGCUUACCACUUUGUGAUUCAUGACUGGGGUGAAGUCGUAACAAGGUAACCGUAGGGGAACCUGCGGUUGGAUCACCUCCUU
This 1535-nucleotide ribosomal RNA is filed under the name Klebsiella pneumoniae. Its description in RNAcentral is "bacterial SSU rRNA". It matches the Rfam family "Bacterial small subunit ribosomal RNA". Lineage: Bacteria; Pseudomonadati; Pseudomonadota; Gammaproteobacteria; Enterobacterales; Enterobacteriaceae. The record is from RNAcentral.